UUGGUCAUUUAGAGGAAGUAAAAGUCGUAACAAGGUUUCCGUAGGUGAACCUGCGGAAGGAUCAUUAUUGAAAUAAACCUGAUAAGUUGCUGCUGGUUCUCUAGGGAGCAUGUGCACACUUGUCAUCUUUGUAUCUUCACCUGUGCACCUUUUGUAGACCUGAGUAUCUCUCUGAAUGCUUUAGCACUCAGGAUUGAGGAUUGAUUCCAAGUCUUUUCUCACAUUUUCAGGUCUAUGUUUCUUCAUAUACCCCAAUGUAUGUUCAUAGAAUGUAAUUAAUGGGCCUUUGUGCCUAUAAACCCAUACAACUUUCAGCAACGGAUCUCUUGGCUCUCGCAUCGAUGAAGAACGCAGCGAAAUGCGAUAAGUAAUGUGAAUUGCAGAAUUCAGUGAAUCAUCGAAUCUUUGAACGCACCUUGCGCUCCUUGGUAUUCUGAGGAGCAUGCCUGUUUGAGUGUCAUUAAUAUAUCAACCUUCUUUGGUUGGAUGUGGGGUGUGCUGGCCUCUUCAGGUCAGCUCUCCUUAAAUGCAUUAGCGGACUACAUUUUGCCAACCGUUCAUUGGUGUGAUAAUUAUCUACGCUAUUGACGUGAAGCAACGUUCAGCUUCUAACAGUCCAUUGACUUGGACAAAUUUUUAUUAAUGUGACCUCAAAUCAGGUAGGACUACCCGCUGAACUUAAGCAUAUCAAUAAGCGGAGG
RNAcentral lists this ribosomal RNA (701 nucleotides) under Calonarius luteicolor. RNAcentral describes it as "eukaryotic LSU rRNA". The stretch from base 307 to 460 matches the Rfam family "5.8S ribosomal RNA". Lineage: Eukaryota; Fungi; Basidiomycota; Agaricomycetes; Agaricales; Cortinariaceae. The record is from RNAcentral.